AUCUGGUUGUGAUUGUUGAGUCAGGGUUUGGCAAAGAUGAUUACAAGAAGACGCCGCGGAAAGAGAAGGGGAAGCUGCAGAGUAACCUCCGUGAGGAGCAGCAGAGGUGGAGAAGGUGAGCUGAGGAACUUGGCUGCUGAUUCCGAGCAGAGUUGGGGAAAGAGUUCCCGCUCCAUCAAAGAGUCAUUUGUCUAAGUCCGGUGUCUAAGAAGUGGUAUUCCCAGAAAACAUUCUCCUUUCUCUCUGGACAUGUAUCUUCCAAGGAAACAUCUCUUUAACCUGUGUCGUUGCCUUCUGGUUGGAGCAGCUUUGGAGAUGUCCUAAGGGCCAUCAGCCUAACAAGCA
RNAcentral lists this long non-coding RNA (345 nucleotides) under Homo sapiens (human). RNAcentral's name for it is "HSALNT0096451". Lineage: Eukaryota; Metazoa; Chordata; Mammalia; Primates; Hominidae. The record is from RNAcentral.